ACCCGACCUCCUCCACCAAGGGGCUGCCAUGAGCGUCCAAAGGAGCUUUGUGGGCCCGGGCGCGCACAGCACCUGGACGUGCCACUGCCCGGUGCGCAUCCGUGUCAGGAAUUGUCACAAGGACGCACAAGCCAGGAGCCGCUGCAAGGCUGUGGAUGAAGCUUUCUGGUCACAAAGCCCCUUCUCCUGGGGCUGCUGUGGGAGUAGCUCUUGGCACACACUUCCACCCAGAGACUUCACAUCCCAGCUGACGAGGGCACGGUCCUGAGAGCUGGCAGCAAAGAUGGGGUGGGGUGGAUGCUGCUCAGUCAUUGGAGCAGACGGAGUGUCCCAGGAGUGGGCGGAAAAUGUCUCUUUAGGAGCCUGAGGUUGGCCCCUGGUGCCCGGAGCCUGAGGCCCCACAACCUCCCCAUGUCCUCCUCCGUUCCCCACGACUGCUGGUGAGAAGUCCUGCCUGGAGUUUUGCAGGGACCCCUCCCUGGACCCAGAAGGGUCCGCGCUUCAACACUUUCAGAGAUCAUUUAGUCCAUCCUCUUUGACAAACGGGGACCAGGGAGGUAAGGAACUGCCCAGGGUCACACAGGAACCAGACCACACAAUAUCACCACCUCCCUCUGCCCAGCACACUUAAAGCCGCGUGCACCGCGCUCACCAGGAGCAUGUCAGCACCUCCUUGAGCGUCCUGCGGAGCUCCUGGCUGUGGAAGGCGUAGAUGAGGGGGUCGAUGAUGGCAUUGCAGAUGAUGAGGGCGAGAAAGAGGUUGAAGUUCUUGAAGAUGCAGCCGCACGUGGGGUGCUCGGGGCAGAGGACGAUGAGUGUGAGAUGCAGGAAGAAGGGGCCCCAGCAGAGGAAGAAAAUGCCCAGCAGGAUGGUGAGGGUGACAGCGCCUUUAAGGCCAAAGCCCUGGUGGACCGGGCGCUGCCUCUUGUGGAGCCGGGCGAUGCCCUGGGCGUGCUGGCAGGCCCGGGCCAGCAUGUGGACGUACAGCACGGCCAUGAGCACCAGCAUAGCCAGGAAGAAGACCACGAGGCACA
RNAcentral lists this long non-coding RNA (1034 nucleotides) under Homo sapiens (human). Its description in RNAcentral is "non-protein coding lnc-CENPBD1-3:6". The record is from RNAcentral. Lineage: Eukaryota; Metazoa; Chordata; Mammalia; Primates; Hominidae.